This 465-nucleotide ribosomal RNA is filed under the name uncultured bacterium. RNAcentral describes it as "partial 16S ribosomal RNA". It matches the Rfam family "Bacterial small subunit ribosomal RNA", at positions 339 to 795 of the family's 1533-position model. The record is from RNAcentral.
CUACGGGUUGCUGCAGUGGGGAAUAUUGGACAAUGGGGGAAACCCUGAUCCAGCAAUGCCGCGUGUGUGAAGAAGGCCUGCGGGUUGUAAAGCACUUUCGGUUGGGAGGACUGCUUCUAGCACUAAUAUUGUUGGAAGUUGACGUUACCUUCAGAAGAAGCACCGGCUAACUCCGUGCCAGCAGCCGCGGGAAUACGGAGGGUGCAAGCGUUAAUCGGAAUUACUGGGCGUAAAGCGCGCGUAGGCGGCUAGAUCAGUCGGGUGUGAAAGCCCCGGGCUUAACCUGGGAACUGCAUCCGAUACUGUCGAGCUUGAGUACAGGAGAGGAGAGUGGAAUUCCACAUGUAGCGGUGAAAUGCGUAGAUAUGUGGAGGAACACCAAUGGCGAAGGCAGCUCUCUGGCCUGAUACUGACGCUGAGGUGCGAAAGCGUGGGGAGCAAACAGGAUUAGAUACCCCUGUAGUC